This 674-nucleotide ribosomal RNA is filed under the name uncultured Cryptococcus. RNAcentral's name for it is "eukaryotic LSU rRNA". The stretch from base 173 to 326 matches the Rfam family "5.8S ribosomal RNA". The record is from RNAcentral. Lineage: Eukaryota; Fungi; Basidiomycota; Tremellomycetes.
UUCCUUUAGAGGAAGUAAAAGUCGUAACAAGGUUUCCGUAGGUGAACCUGCGGAAGGAUCAUUAGUGAACGCCCUCACGGGCUUAUAACUAUUCCAAACCUCUGUGARCCGUGCCCUUCGGGGCUAUUUUACAAACAUGGUGUAAUGAACGUCAUAUAUCAUAACAAAACAAAACUUUCAACAACGGAUCUCUUGGCUCUCGCAUCGAUGAAGAACGCAGCGAAAUGCGAUAAGUAAUGUGAAUUGCAGAAUUCAGUGAAUCAUCGAAUCUUUGAACGCACCUUGCGCCCUCUGGUAUUCCGGAGGGCAUGCCUGUUUGAGUGUCAUGUAGACUCAAUCCCUCGGGUUUCCGAGGAGAUUGGACUUGGGUGUUGCCGCUCUGCCGGCUCGCCUUAAAAGACUUAGCGGGAUAGCACCGUAGUCGGCGUAAUAAGUUUCGUCGGUGAAGGUUGUGAUGACUGCUUACAAUCGCCCUCGGGCAAUUUUUGACUCUGACCUCAAAUCAGGUAGGACUACCCGCUGAACUUAAGCAUAUCAAUAACGCGGAGGAAAAGAAACUAACAAGGAUUCCCYUAGUAGCGGCGAGCGAAGCGGGAAGAGCUCAAAUUUGAAAGCUGGCGUCCUUCGGGCGUCCGCAUUGUAAUCUAUAGAGGCGUUUUCUGUGCUGGACCGUG